Long non-coding RNA from Capra hircus (goat), 1884 nucleotides. The record is from Ensembl. NCBI's taxonomy places the organism in Eukaryota, Metazoa, Chordata, Mammalia, Artiodactyla, Bovidae.
AUGGGUCGCAGAAGGGCCCGCCUAUGGGCACUUUUCCAGUGCUGCAUCCCCAAGGCAAAGGCCAAGACAAGGAAGAACGUGGCCUCGGCCCAAGUCCUGGAAGCAGAGUGGCCUGAGGAGUUGGCAACAUCUACGGAAGAACUCAAUAUAUGCCGGGAACAGCUUCUUGCAAGAGAAGAAGAAAUAGCUCUGCUGAAUGCAGAGCGGAAUAAUACCAGGAGAACCUGCGACGAAGACCUGGCUCAGGUGAUCGAGCUCCAGGAAAUCAUCGAGAAGAAGUCACGGGAGCAGAGAGAGAUGAAGCACCGCCUGGCAGCCCUCUCUGCCCACGUGACAGAGCUGGAGAAGGACCUGGACACGGCCAGGAAGGACCUCCUCAAGUCCAAGGAGGUGAAAGUGAAACUACAGCAGGACAUCCGUGAAGUGCAGCCCCUGAAAGAUCAGGACCGGGAACGCGGGCAGCAAGCCAGCGUGCUGGCCAACGUGGGCCAGCUGUUCAAGAGUGACAAGGGUGUGUCAGACGGCGAGGGUGACCGGGUCACCCUCUUCAGCAUGCCCACUCUGCUGUCGCCCCGCGGCCAGGCCGAUGCCAAGACUCCGGCCGGGAGGAUUCAGAAGCAGCUGGACAGGAUCAACGAAGAAAGCUGGUUGAUCCAAAAAGACAAGGAGAACACGGAUCAGCGGGCGGAGGGGAUUGAGAGCAGGGUGGGCAGUGGGAGCUUCAGCAACCUUCGGCGCUUUAACUCCUCCAACUCCCUCAACCUGGAUCCCGCCUCCUCGCAUGCCGGCUCCUUCCCGCCCAGCAGAGGGCGCUCCAUGCCCGAAAGGAGGCAGCACAGCCCUGAGCGAGAAGAAGACAAGCUGGGCUUCAUGACUCUGCUGCCAGCCUUACAGGAAGAGGUAGAAGAUGACACCAUCAAAUGUGAAACCUCGACCUCCGCCUCGCUGCGGUCCUUUCGGCUGGACCGGCUCACGGGCUCACUGCGCACAGCCAGCGAUGAGGACAUCAGGGACGCCCACAACGCGACAGGCUCUCAGGACGGUCCCGGGGGCAACCCCAGCAACAGCAACAGCAGCCAGGACUCGCUGCAGAAAGCCCCAAAGAAGAAGGGCAUCAAGUCCUCCAUCGAUCGUUGGUUUGGCAAGAAGGAAAAGGGCCGGCCUGGACACACCAGCAGGGAGGCGUUAGGACCAGGUGGGGCUUCACCGUUCAGAGGGAGGAGGGUCUGCGUGUAUGUCCCUUCUGUGUCUCCCCCGCUGUCCCCACGAGGCUCCUGUCACUCACGCUAGGUGUCCUUCUGGGAGGAGUGGAUGAGGCGUCUGUCUUCUCUAGGGUCCGAGAUGAUCAGAUCAGUUGAUGAGUGGAUGGGUGGACAGGUAGAUGAACAGAUGGCUGGCUGGAUGGGUGGGUGAACGGAGCAUGGAAUGAGUAAAGCAGAUGCUUACUCCCAUGAGAAACGUAUUCUACGAAACGGAUUGAGUAGGAGCUGGGCAAUGACUGUUUCCUCCAGAACAGUGACAAGUGUUUGGAAACGGCCUAAGUGCUCAUCAGAGAGGAGUGAGGUACAAUCUGUGGGCACCCCACAAGGAACAGCAUCCCCUCCUUCCUGCCACUUUCCCCAUCCCCAGGGGCUCAUGAGGGGUUCUGCCCAUUACCCCACCCCAGCCCACAGCCACUCAGGUCCUCCUGGGGUCAACUCAUCACACAGUGUUAUCAUCAGGCCCCCGUCUCUCUCGGCUUCAUCUCCUUAAGGACAGGGUAUGUUCCUGCCUCUUCAGCCAGAUAUUUGUUGAGUGUCUUCUUUUGCUGGGUGUGGGAUUUACAGGGUGAGUAAAAACAAUGUGGUCUGGAGCACAGUGAAGGGAAAGAGAAAAAAAGGAGCA